GAAUAUAUCGUAUAUAUCAUAAUAACUUGUGCUUUUGUAAAUGUUAACUGUCUCUACGAGCAGCCGUCACAGUCGAAGGAUCCGCAGAGCCCUUGACUUCUCUAGCACCCCCUGCUGGUUUGAUUUCUCCAUUGCUUUAUGCUGCAAGCUGCUACUUUUGUCACUUGAGAGUGCAACUCAACAUGUAAUGAUACCAUGCGACUCAUAAUGUAGGAGUUAAUUCUGUUCUCUUUUUUAUACUGCUCUACUUCGUCCUGAGUUCACUGACAUAAGCCGUCCCAUAACUUUGAGAAUAAUGUAUCCAAGUCUCUCGAUGCCUUCUGUACAGUCUCAUUUCACCUCGGCAGGUGUGUGUAUGUGUGUGUGAUAUAGGUGCGUGUUGUGUUUGGUAUUGACUGGUUUUACUAGAAGCUUGUAGACUCAGUCCGAGCAUUUCUUCACUAAACUGACCUCUUUUAGUGUCUCUCAUUUCUUGUCAUUGCUUCUCAGAUACUGCUAGGAAAACAGUUAUUGUAAUAUCAUAAGCGGUUGUUUCAUGCCAUACAGCACAAAGGCCUUGCUAACAAAACAUUAGAAUCAGUCUUAUCGCUUCGAAAACUGGGGACCCACGAUUCAUUAAUUUUUACCAAAGACUACAACUGUCAUUCACUUCAGUCAUGAAACGUGAGAAAGUUUUUAUUUUUGUGAUUGGAUGUUUUGGGGAGUGACUGGGAAAACAAUGCUGAAAAUGUCCACAGGCAAAAUUAUGUUUUCGUUUUGUUGUAUGUUUUGCUUUGCAUUUUUGUUUUGUUUUUUGUUGCUUUCUUAGUAUCUUUGUUUGCUUUGUUUCGUUUUGUUUUUGUCUGAGUUGCUUCGCGGAGCAUUUGUUUAUCUGACAGGUCACCUUUAUUUUUGUUUCUUUUCUUUUCAUGUUGCAAUGAGAAUGUACACUAUUACUGAUUUCUUUUGAUGUGAAGAAGAAAGCUGUUGAAUUUUUGUUGGACUUUUGAAAUGCUUUCGAAAGAUUGACAACGUUAUGCUGUUGAGAUGGAGAAGACACACAUCGAAGGUGUUUGCUCAGUUCAUGUCUUGUUUCUCCUAAGAAGGAGGCUGGAAAAUGAAGUCACAUCUCUCCAACAUUUGGGGUAAUAUUCUGACUUUGCUUGUGCAUCACGUAAAAAAAUUGGAGCUGCAAGUUGCAUCAAUCUUUUCUAACGUUUUUGUCCUGUGGUAUCUCUUUUUCCUUUUCUUGCAUUAUUUGUGGGUUGCAUUUGUAAGCAUAUUUGCAUUAUCAUGUUAAGAAAUGUACAUAUCUAUUUCUUGCUUCAUUAACUCAUCAGUCUCUAAAAGCUUUGUAUCCUGGCAUAUAAUUGCAAACUCUAUAUUUUCAUAUGAAUCAAUUUUGUUUGUUUGUCCUUAGUUUUGUGUGUAGUUCUCAUUGAUGGUUAACACAAAAUGUCCCCAAAUCCUUCAGAAGGUGGCUGACAUCAAGUUCCAAACACACAACAAUCAUAAACUAAGGCAGUGAUUGUGGUAUUUCUUUUUUCUUUCCCCCCUUUGAAUCGAAAUAAAAUCUGUUUCAUUGUCCAGAAGUGCAAUAGAAUAGAUCUUGUAAGUCAAAGAAGAAGUUCUCCCAUACAAAGCAGGUGGGUGUCACCAUCAUAUCCACUUUUUCUAAUCUGGAAUAACACACGAAGGGUUUUUGAAGGGGUUUUCUUUCUUUCUUUCUUUUUUCUUUUUGUUGAAAGCUAUAUCAAAG
Long non-coding RNA from Cyprinus carpio carpio, 1738 nucleotides. The record is from Ensembl. NCBI's taxonomy places the organism in Eukaryota, Metazoa, Chordata, Actinopteri, Cypriniformes, Cyprinidae.